Molecule: ribosomal RNA, 482 nt
Filed under: uncultured bacterium
Lineage: Bacteria
Description: partial 16S ribosomal RNA
Rfam family: Bacterial small subunit ribosomal RNA
Source: RNAcentral
AUUGAACGCUGGCGGCAUGCUUUACACAUGCAAGUCGAACGGUAACAGGCCGCAAGGUGCUGACGAGUGGCGAACGGGUGAGUAAUGCAUCGGAACGUGCCCAGUCGUGGGGGAUAACUACUCGAAAGAGUAGCUAAUACCGCAUACGAUCUAUGGAUGAAAGCGGGGGACCGUAAGGCCUCGCGCGAUUGGAGCGGCCGAUGUCAGAUUAGGUAGUUGGUGGGGUAAAGGCUCACCAAGCCAACGAUCUGUAGCUGGUCUGAGAGGACGACCAGCCACACUGGGACUGAGACACGGCCCAGACUCCUACGGGAGGCAGCAGUGGGGAAUUUUGGACAAAGGGCGCAAGCCUGAUCCAGCAAUGCCGCGUGCAGGAAGAAGGCCUUCGGGUUGUAAACUGCUUUUGUACGGAACGAAACGGCUCUGGUUAAUACCCGGGGCUAAUGACGGUACCGUAAGAAUAAGCACCGGCUAACUACGUA